Molecule: ribosomal RNA, 483 nt
Filed under: uncultured bacterium
Lineage: Bacteria
Description: partial 16S ribosomal RNA
Rfam family: Bacterial small subunit ribosomal RNA
Source: RNAcentral
AAUGAACGUUGGCGGCGUGGAUUAGGCAUGCAAGUCGAGCGAUAACCGUAGCAAUACGGGGACAGCGGCGAAAGGGAGAGUAACGCGUGGAUAAUCUACCCUCGGGACUGGGAUAGCCGCGGGAAACUGCGGGUAAUACCGGAUAAUGUCCUCGGACCAAAGGUGCGAUUCCGCCCGGGGAUGAGUCCGCGUCCUAUUAGCGAGUUGGUGGGGUAAUGGCCUACCCAGGCGAAGAUGGGUACGGGGGGUGAGAGUAUGCCCCCGCUCACUGGGACUGAGACACUGCCCAGACACCUACGGGUGGCUGCAGUCGAGAAUCUUCGGCAAUGGGCGCAAGCCUGACCGAGCGACGCCGCGUGCGGGAUGAAGGCCUUCGGGUUGUAAACCGCUGUCGGAGGGGAGGAAAUGCACGGGGGUUCUCCCUCGUGUUUGACCUAGCCUCAGAGGAAGGACGGGCUAACUACGUGCCAGCAGCCGCAGUAA